UGUGGCUCAGUUGGUAGAGCAUGGUGUUUGCAACGCCAGGGUUGUGGGUUCGAUUCCCACCA
Molecule: transfer RNA, 62 nt
Filed under: Salmo salar (Atlantic salmon)
Lineage: Eukaryota; Metazoa; Chordata; Actinopteri; Salmoniformes; Salmonidae
Rfam family: tRNA
About the family: Transfer RNA (tRNA) molecules are approximately 80 nucleotides in length. Their secondary structure includes four short double-helical elements and three loops (D, anti-codon, and T loops). Further hydrogen bonds mediate the characteristic L-shaped molecular structure. tRNAs have two regions of fundamental functional importance: the anti-codon, which is responsible for specific mRNA codon recognition, and the 3' end, to which the tRNAs corresponding amino acid is attached (by aminoacyl-tRNA synthetases). tRNAs cope with the degeneracy of the genetic code in two manners: having more than one tRNA (with a specific anti-codon) for a particular amino acid; and 'wobble' base-pairing, i.e. permitting non-standard base-pairing at the 3rd anti-codon position.
Source: Rfam by way of RNAcentral